RNA transcript from Thunnus maccoyii (southern bluefin tuna), 4967 nucleotides. It is a transcript of the gene named nuclear receptor subfamily 2, group F, member 2, with no coding region annotated. The transcript has 8 exons. NCBI's taxonomy places the organism in Eukaryota, Metazoa, Chordata, Actinopteri, Scombriformes, Scombridae. The record is from RefSeq and is a predicted model, not a curated record.
UCCAGUGGGAACGCUGCAAGCGUGAGAGACGCAGCAGUUCAGCGACACACAAGCACACGCGAUGCUCACGCAUCUAGUGUGUCCCGGGCGUUAACGUGACCAACGUCCUGCCUACAAGGAACCUGAUUGGUUGACGCUGAACGUCGCCCACCUUCAUUUGAAUUUUUGUCGGUUAGCUGCUAAUGCUAGUAAACCCAGGAUAUGUACAAAUUUAGUUACAGAAAAGUGAUUCUUGGGCUUGUUUUAAAUGGGAGCGGCAAGGGAAAUUUCUGAUAGGGGUUUGGCCAGGCCAAACUCAGAAAAAUUUCUUCCGUUAUUGCCAAGCAUUAACGUUAGUCCCUUCAGUCAACCGGUCUACUGCAGUAUGCAUGGCGAAGAUGGUCAGCGGUUUAACGUGCAUGAAGAAAUCUGUUAAAAUCGUUAUUAUUCAAGCCACGCUGAAUCUUGAAAUUUUGAAAGCUCUUCAUGGACCCCUGAUGAAAACAGGUGCAGUUUCAGGAGGAAAGUGAUGCAGAGGGAGCCCAAGCCAAUCAGGGAGAGAAGGAUGAACAGGCAUCAGAGUUUCAGAUGGAGACAGAGAAAGAACACCCAGAACAUAGAGAGAGACGUGAGGAGGGCUGGUUUGAGGUACAACCAAAUGGCUACUCCAGUAUGAAAAUGACCACCAGGGGCAUUCCAAGCCAGAGAGGCUCCCCAUCUGGAUGGAAGACAGUCCUCUGUGUGCCUGAUUAAUGGCGUGGAGAGACAGUUGCCAGUUCUGAAGCCUUGCUGUCUGGCCCAGGUCAAAACUUCCAGAAGGCAACCUAAUGUUACUCCAAAAAAAAAAAACCAAACCCUCAGAGAUUGUUGUGCUCUCUUUAAAAUGAUCAGGACGUAAUGUACCCAAGUUAGUUUUAGUUCUGACAGUAAAAAGUUGCCUAUAAAAAUAAUUAAUUGAUGAAGGGAUGUAAAAUCUUUAAUAAGAAAAAUUGAAAAUUUGUAUUUUUUUUCCUAAUGAAGAUGUACUAACUAGCUGAAUUAUCAUGUUAGUGAACGUAAUUUUAGUGAAUCUAAUAGAGCUUAUAAACAAUCUAUUCAACUGUCCCGGACAUUUACUGCUGUUGUUGAAGAUGUUGUUGUCUUAUUCACUCUUUGCACUCUUUGUCUUAUUUACUCUUUGCAUUCAUUUUGCAACACUUAAUCUUGUCAAAAUGUCCUACUAUGAAUAUUCAAAUAUAUUUUACUACAUGUCAUAAAUUUUCAUGCAUUUCCUCAUCCAAAUAUCUGUCACCAUAGUCAGACAUUUUCGAAUCCUGUAGGACUUAAUGCUUUAAUCCUUAAAUAUUUUUUACACAAUUGAUACACUGAUUGAUACAUUUAGCAUCACCACUCGCAAGAACAACACUAAUACAUUCUUUUAUUAGAGUAGAAAAAAAUGAAAACAUGUCCACCCUCUUUCAGGCCUCAAAUUUCAAGACUGUAGUCCAGCCAUAGAGCCAAGCAAUUAGAAUGAUUAUGAGGACUUUGUCUUUACUGGUUUUACUUUUGAUUUAUACUUUAAACUUUCUUUGAAUCUUGGACUACUAUCAGUACUCUGUAGAGCACUGCUCGUGAUUUUAGCUGAGCCAGUCAAAGGAAGGGCAAAGCAUCUCUCUUACCACUGGAGCCUUGACUCAUUUGUCACUAAUGUGUCAAAGAGAAGAUGACAUUUACAGCCUGCUGAAGUGACUGCCAGCUAGCCCUUCAGGCACCCCAGAAGUAAUAAAUGUUUACCUUUAAGAAAGAGGUCUGUGGGUUCAGGUUCUUUCUUUAGAUGUGAGAAGGUUCUUUUGUACACUGGGUUCUUAUUUUCCACAUCUAUACACCUUUAUUUGAAAUGUACACCGAAGUGAAGAAAUUGGUUUCAUUUGUAUUAGUGCUUUAAUACCUAUUCACAUUAGCUUUUUUUUUUAGUCGCAUAAACUGUAUUUAAAAUUAGAAUGUGUUCUCUUUUUUUGCCAUGAAGUAUAUUACUAAAUAAAUGUAGUUAAAUGGCAGUAUUAUCUUUGCCUUGAUGGGAGUGGAGUCCAUUACCGACUUUGUGAAAUUGUUAUUGAGUUAAAAAUUGAGUUACUCAGCAGAAAGAUAAAAAAAAUUAAGUGGAUUGAAAGAUGGUAGGCAUAUUUCAUACAUCAACAUCAAAGAGUAUCACCCCCCGCCAAAAAAAAAAAAAGAUUGAUUGAACUAUAUAUAAUAUUGCAAACAUUACAGCAACAUAUAGUAGAAUCACAUACAUGAAUAAUAAUAAUGUAUUUAAAUAUAUAGCCAAAAACAUCGUUGUUGAGAAAUUCAUGAUGAUAAAAGCCACAGCCAUGACCAACAUAAUUCAUAACUCAGUGUCACCCAACCUGUAAUUCACACUGUAAAACAACCAGAUUUCUAUGCAAACCAGUGACCUCUGCAAUCUUUUGUGUAAGAAAAGUGAAAUCACACCCCUGGUCUCUUGAAACACUGUUUUAACUGAUGAUAAGCUGUUUAUCUUUAUCAAAAUGAAUGACCUCAAGUUGUAUUUCUAGUAGAGCUGACCACAAACCUGUAAGAAGUAACACCUGAGGAUAUUUAGAAUAUGUUUUUUGUAAUAUUCUCAAAAUCUUAUCGUGUUUCCUGUGAUAAUUACUCAUAAAUGCUCUCAACCGCAUAGACAUUGUUCAAGAGCUUGAAAACAUAUCUUAAUGGAAUCCUGAUAAAUCGUGUGAAGGAGAUAACAGUGUGUGUCUACAUUGACCUACGCUGAUAAAAUUUGGACUUACGAUGAAUGUUUAUAUCCCCAACUGUCUGCAUCCAGACAAUAGCAACACCAGCUAAUACAACCCUUGCUUGAACAACCCAUAAAUUGAACUAGUACUAAAUCAAUGGAAAGCUGCAAAAAUGUGAGAACGAGAUGAAGAGAAAACCAAUGUCUGGGCCUUGAGGGAAAAGAUGCGCAACAUCACACCAGACUCUUAUCUCUGGAUGCAUCUCUCCCCUGAGAGGAUUCCACACUCCAGCAAACAGCAGGAUUCAAAGGGUAAGGUGUGAAAGGAUCAUUCCAAGUCUCAAAGGAGAGGCUUCUUUCAAUAUCCUCAAAGGUCCCAUAACAGCCUACCAGUCUGUGCUCAGCGCACCUCCACCCCUCAUCCCACCCUCGCUAUCUCGUUUUCCUCAUCUGGCCCAGGCCCACUUCCACAUCUACAUCCCAUUGUCUGAGUGAAGGCAGCACGCGCAGGGCUGGGGCCAGUCCAAACAUACUCAUCUCUCUCUCUGGAUGGCUGCCAGCAUUCUUUGAAAAAUGUAAACUUUGUUACUUUCCAAAUCAAUUUAACAGUUGUCUCUUAUAAUGGAACAAAGAUUACAGUCUGUUUUUUCCCUUUAAAAAAUGUAUAUGUGAUUAUUUACAUAGCUUCUUGUAGGUGUGUAUGUGUGUGCAUGUUAUGUCAUGUUGUGUGUUGGGAUCCAUGCAUGCACAUGUGUCGGAGAAACCAAAUCCCAAUCCAUCAUGCAUUCCCCAAGGUGGGCCAGCCAGUGUGUGUGUUUGUCACUGUCCCCUGUCAGGAAAGAGGGUUGGAGCGUGUUCUCCGGACGAACCCUCUUUGGCUGAGGAAGUGCUCCUCUAUAUUGGCCUCUUUGUGGCUCGCUAAUCGAGCUUUCCUGUCAGCAGGCUGCACGGUCCCAGUGCAGGGUGCACUACGUGAUACAGACCCACUCCGGUGCUCCAAGGGAAGUUCUGGGAUCAGCAGAUAACAGCACAGCUCCCUCAUCUGACACGCAGAAUAGUGCUGCCUCUCUCUGUCUCUCUGUCCUUGCAUGAAUAAGGAAAACACCGAUUUUAACCAUCUGAAAAAUUCCAUUAUUUAGACCUAAGUGUCAUUCUCCUUUGGAAAACCCCACAAUUUCCUCUUUAAAGUAUAAAAUAUUGUCCUCUAAAAUCAGGAUGAAUGAUAUACUCUUUGUCUCAUACAACUUCAACAUCUUGUGUUACAAAGUUAAUACAUCUUGUAAUUAGAAAAUACUAUCUGUUAAACAUUUUAACAUUUUGCAUUACACUGUCUGGACUUUGUUGCCAAUUUAGUGAUUUCAACAGACUAUUAUCCCUCCCACCUGAGUUUUGUACUCCACAGUGGGCCAUCAUGCAAACUGUAACACUCUUUUGAAAUGUAAGCGGAAUCUAGUGCUAUCUGAGAAGAGUGGUCACGAAGGACCCAUGUUCCCGUAUUCAAAACCAAUUAUAAAAUGAUAAUCUGUAGGUGUCAAUUCUAUUUAAAUUUUCCGGUUAUUCAAGCAUUUACACUUAUGUCAGGGGGAUUUUUCAAGGACACUGAAGGAUAUAGCAGAUAUCCUGGUGACAUCACUGAAUUUGUGAUUUUCUCAGUCUACCUUACAUUUAGAUGGUAUAUUAUUGUUCACAUUCCCCAAAUUAAGUAGGCAAGGACUAAUGAUGUUACUACUUCAAUAAUAUUAUUUUAAGGAGGUCCAUGUCAUUGUGUUUGUAUGCACAUAAUGAAAUAUGCACAUGUGAAUGAAUCAACACCCCAGUUUCAGAGUAGAGCGAUGUCAAUGCAACAUUAUUUGGUUGUUGUUACUCAUUUUCAGUUCUUCCAACUAAUUUUCUGUGGUGGUGCAUUAAAACUGGAAAGAUAAUUAGGUCUGAAGGUGUUAAUUAAAAAAAAUAGUCUUGUUGAUACUUCCUUCACUGACCGCCAACAGCCUUUUGGAGUUGUGGUCAGUUUUCUGCUACCUUAGAACAUAACCUCUCUGUUGAAGGUGGUACAUCCGAAAGAAGCGCAGGAACAUGUGACAGAAUGGUAAUGAAAUGACUGCCACACAAGUUUAAAAUUUUAUUUUCAAACUCAAAGCUGCUGCAUAUUUCAAGUAGACUGGUGGUCUGGUGGUUAAUUAGAACUGACUCUUGACUUCCAGCCCUGUGAGAGAAGUAUGUAUCCAAUGGUCAGACUAUAAUUUGUAAGAGCUUU